RNAcentral lists this ribosomal RNA (490 nucleotides) under uncultured bacterium. RNAcentral describes it as "partial 16S ribosomal RNA". It matches the Rfam family "Bacterial small subunit ribosomal RNA", at positions 30 to 507 of the family's 1533-position model. The record is from RNAcentral.
AUUGAACGCUGGCGGCAUGCCUUACACAUGCAAGUCGAACGGCAGCAUGAUCUAGCUUGCUAGAUUGAUGGCGAGUGGCGAACGGGUGAGUAAUACAUCGGAACGUGCCCUGUAGUGGGGGAUAACUAGUCGAAAGAUUAGCUAAUACCGCAUACGACCUGAGGGUGAAAGUGGGGGACCGCAAGGCCUCAUGCUAUAGGAGCGGCCGAUGUCUGAUUAGCUAGUUGGUGAGGUAAAGGCUCACCAAGGCGACGAUCAGUAGCUGGUCUGAGAGGACGAUCAGCCACACUGGGACUGAGACACGGCCCAGACUCCUACGGGAGGCAGCAGUGGGGAAUUUUGGACAAAGGGCGAAAGCCUGAUCCAGCAAUGCCGCGUGUGUGGAGAAGGCCUUCGGGUUGUAAAGCACUUUUGUCCGGAAAGAAAUGGCUCUGGUUAAUACCUGGGGUCGAUGACGGUACCGGAAGAAUAAGGACCGGCUAACUACGUG